UACGGAGGGUGCAAGCGUUAUCCGGAAUCAUUGGGUUUAAAGGGUCCGUAGGCGGACUAAUAAGUCAGGGGUGAAAUCCAACAGCUUAACUGUUGAACUGCCCUUGAUACUGUUAGUCUUGAAUUAUAUGGAAGUAGAUAGAAUGUGUAGUGUAGCGGUGAAAUGCUUAGAGAUUACACAGAAUACCGAUUGCGAAGGCAGUCUACUACGUAUAUAUUGACGCUAAUGGACGAAAGCGUGGGGAGCGAACAGG
RNAcentral lists this ribosomal RNA (253 nucleotides) under uncultured bacterium. Its description in RNAcentral is "partial 16S ribosomal RNA". It matches the Rfam family "Bacterial small subunit ribosomal RNA", at positions 524 to 776 of the family's 1533-position model. The record is from RNAcentral.